CAGAAAACCCAUCCCACGAGCAACAGCAAGCAUCUACUUCGUUAUAGAGAUCUCCAAAAUCAAACCUGCCACCUUGCCUGUGGAGGUAUUCUUCACUCUGGAGUCCAGCAGGCUGAUUCACAGGCCAGAACAGUGCCAGUUUAGAGAAAAGUGGCUUAAGGACAUCAUUGAAAAUAAAAUAAUCCUCAUGGAAAGACAGACUUUCUAAUGAACAGCUCCAAUUCACUAUCGCCAACGCUCUUGUUGGUAGUUUGUGGAGAAUCAAAUAAACACAAUGAAGAAU
Long non-coding RNA from Gymnogyps californianus (California condor), 283 nucleotides. RefSeq lists it as uncharacterized. The transcript has 3 exons. The record is from RefSeq and is a predicted model, not a curated record. NCBI's taxonomy places the organism in Eukaryota, Metazoa, Chordata, Aves, Accipitriformes, Cathartidae.